Molecule: transfer RNA, 90 nt
Filed under: Candidatus Saccharimonadota bacterium
Lineage: Bacteria; Candidatus Saccharimonadota
Description: tRNA-Ser
Rfam family: tRNA
About the family: Transfer RNA (tRNA) molecules are approximately 80 nucleotides in length. Their secondary structure includes four short double-helical elements and three loops (D, anti-codon, and T loops). Further hydrogen bonds mediate the characteristic L-shaped molecular structure. tRNAs have two regions of fundamental functional importance: the anti-codon, which is responsible for specific mRNA codon recognition, and the 3' end, to which the tRNAs corresponding amino acid is attached (by aminoacyl-tRNA synthetases). tRNAs cope with the degeneracy of the genetic code in two manners: having more than one tRNA (with a specific anti-codon) for a particular amino acid; and 'wobble' base-pairing, i.e. permitting non-standard base-pairing at the 3rd anti-codon position.
Source: RNAcentral
GGAGAGGUACUCAAGUGGUUUAAGAGACUUGUCUUGAAAACAAGCGUGUCAGCAAUGGCACCGCGAGUUCGAAUCUCGCCCUCUCCGCCA